GUUACGACAUUGCCGCUGGCCCGGAUUCGGAAUACUGCUCAGAAUUACUAAAACGGCGAUCAUGCAUUGGGAUGUUACGAGCUGCAAACGUAAUGCAAGAAAAGCAGAAGCCCGGAUAUGAUUUUCUAUUAUCCCACAGGCUAUCAUUCUAUAAUGCUAGAACGAUUAUGCGUGCACGAUCUGGAGAAAAGCAGACACUCAGCUUUGGCUUGAGUGCCUGCCUCAUGUACCCGUCAAUCGGUACCGUCGCUGACAAAGGCGUUGAACCGCUGUCUCCACUGCCGCGUACACAACUAUCCCGCAGGCAUUCUCCACUUUCCCUUCGUCGGUUAAAAAACACCGACAAUCAUCGCCAAAAUCAUUCGGAGUACGUACGAACGAUACGGUAUUCUGCUCAUCUGCUGAACUGUAUGACGGUGGUGGAAAAUCGGCGUAACGUCGAUAUCUGAACCGUUCCCACACCCGCUGGAAUUACUCUCGCUGGUCAAACUCACCGUUAUCGGAUGAGCUUCCUGGGAACGGAAUUAUUAUCCGGAACAAGAACGACGGCCGAGCGGAAAAUGUGCUACAGAGUGCUCAAGCAGACCAGCCGCAGUUUGCUGCGCCCAUCAUGGCUGUUCAGAGCAUAGCUAAUCAUUUGCUGUGUUAGAUGCUCAAAAUAAUUAACCAUCACACAUUCGUUAAUUUGCUGUUGCACACGUUUAUGACAAUAUUUUGCGUCCGGGUGCAUGGCAACAUGUUCCAGCACAACUGCAUGAUUUAUCACUGACAUACAGUAUUAUAGCUUGGUUGCAAAUUAUUUAAGGACCACGACGCUCAUGUCGCGUCGUGGCAUUUUGCUAGCUGCUGCGCUCCUUUCACCUACGUCUCCACAUUCCCGAUUGGAACUAUUCCCGACACUCACGACAAGAACGCCGUUGUCCUGUACAUUAUUUAUGACUGUGUGUGAUUGCAGAUCCCAGUGCAGUUCCCUGUGCGGCGGGAAAGUACCAGCACAUCAUCAGUUGUUGUCAGUGCGUGGCAUUGGGUACGGCUGAGGUUCUGGAUGUCAGUAUCGCUGUGGACACUCACCAAUAUUUCGACCAGGUUCGAUAACGAAAGAAAGCCGGCACUUUUGUCAGUACUGUCACUACGCAGCCGGUCUGGUAGGCAUGGGCCUGUCGCGUGUCUUCAGCCGCAAUGGGUCUGUUUCUACAAAAGGUCAACUUCCUCCGCCACGUUCACGAAGAUGUCAACACACAGGGAAGAUGGUAGCCACGGCCGACAUACGGCGCCCCGUCGACUGCGGAACAAUUGUGCGGAUGUUGCUGGCAGCGGCCAGGUCCAAUUGUCCGGCGGUUGGUCAGCAUUUAUACGAAAAGGUCAUCGCUAUGCACGCGCGCUGGUUGCGGGCGCUGGUCUAUCCGGAUCAGCGGAGCUGUAUUCGCAGUUUUCUAUAGCUGUGGAAGUUGUAACUGCCAUCGUGUGGAUCAUAAUCCGCACCGGUGGGACACGAUGGAUCUCCGACAACUGGACAUUGCCUCCAUUCCCAGUGUGACAAUUGCGGCCCUUGAUAGUUGGUUCAAAGACUGAAGCCCGUGUGAACGACACUAUCAUCUAUCCCAGGAUCUAUAUCGUAAUAUGGCUGGUGUAGUCCUGGUGUCGGUAGUUCUUUUGCAUACUGAUGCUAAUGUGCUUUUGCUGAAGGUUGGGCCCGUCUGUGAUUUUUAUAUAAUUGUGUAGGUGGGUGUUUUUAUAUAAUUAUAUAAUUGUGUAA
Molecule: RNA transcript, 1756 nt
Organism: Paramacrobiotus metropolitanus
Lineage: Eukaryota; Metazoa; Tardigrada; Eutardigrada; Parachela; Macrobiotidae
Exons: 4
Source: RefSeq, a predicted model, not a curated record